GGAUUAGAUACCCUGGUAGUCCACGCAGUAAACGGUGAUCACUAGGUGUAGCGGGUAUUGACCCCUGCUGUGCCGCAGCUAACGCAUUAAGUGAUCCGCCUGGGGAGUACGGUCGCAAGGUUAAAACUCAAAGGAAUUGACGGGGGCCCGCACAAGCGGUGGAGCAUGUGGUUUAAUUCGACGCAACGCGAAGAACCUUACCUGGAUUUGACAUCCCGGGAAUUCAUUGGAAACAUUGAAGUGCCCUUCGGGGAGCCCGGUGACAGGUGCUGCAUGGCUGUCGUCAGCUCGUGCUG
This 296-nucleotide ribosomal RNA is filed under the name uncultured bacterium. Its description in RNAcentral is "partial 16S ribosomal RNA". It matches the Rfam family "Bacterial small subunit ribosomal RNA", at positions 775 to 1067 of the family's 1533-position model. The record is from RNAcentral.